AGAGUUUGAUCCUGGCUCAGAUUGAACGCUGGCGGCAUGCUUUACACAUGCAAGUCGAACGGCAGCACGGGGGCAACCCUGGUGGCGAGUGGCGAACGGGUGAGUAAUGCAUCGGAACGUAUCUUUAAGUGGGGGAUAAGGCAGCGAAAGCUGUGCUAAUACCGCAUAAUCUCUGAGGAGAAAAGCAGGGGAUCGCAAGACCUUGCGCUUUUGGAGCGGCCGAUGUCUGAUUAGCUAGUUGGUGAGGUAAAGGCUCACCAAGGCUCCGAUCAGUAGCUGGUCUGAGAGGACGACCAGCCACACUGGGACUGAGACACGGCCCAGACUCCUACGGGAGGCAGCAGUGGGGAAUUUUGGACAAUGGGGGCAACCCUGAUCCAGCCAUGCCGCGUGAGUGAAGAAGGCCUUCGGGUUGUAAAGCUCUUUCAGCCGGAAAGAAAUCGUGCAGAUUAAUACUCUGUAUGGAUGACGGUACCGGAAGAAGAAGCACCGGCUAANUACGUGNCAGCAGCCGCGGUAAUAC
Molecule: ribosomal RNA, 523 nt
Filed under: uncultured soil bacterium
Lineage: Bacteria
Description: bacterial SSU rRNA
Rfam family: Bacterial small subunit ribosomal RNA
Source: RNAcentral